CCUACGGGGGGCAGCAGUGGGGAAUAUUGGGCAAUGGGCGCAAGCCUGACCCAGCAACGCCGCGUGAAGGAAGAAGGCUUUCGGGUUGUAAACUUCUUUUAAGAGGGAAGAGUAGAAGACGGUACCUCUUGAAUAAGCCACGGCUAACUACGUGCCAGCAGCCGCGGUAAUACGUAGGUGGCAAGCGUUGUCCGGAUUUACUGGGUGUAAAGGGCGUGUAGCCGGGCCGGCAAGUCAGAUGUCAAAUCCGGGGGCUCAACCCCCGAACUGCAUUUGAAACUGUCGUUCUUGAGUACUGGAGAGGU
Molecule: ribosomal RNA, 305 nt
Filed under: uncultured bacterium
Lineage: Bacteria
Description: bacterial SSU rRNA
Rfam family: Bacterial small subunit ribosomal RNA
Source: RNAcentral